UCCCAAUUUCAUUUCUACAUUUUCAGAUAUGGCCUCGAACCGGACGUCGCCUUCUCUUCAGUGUCUCCGCCGUAACAAUGUGACGGAUUUUGCUCGGAAUGUUGUGAUAGAGAAGAAGACCGUGAUCCAGAUACGGAUUGCGGAGGUGGAGGUCGAACAGCAGGGGAGCUCGGAUCGUACGGUGGAUACCGAGCAUCGGAUUGAGAGUUUGUGUGCUGGAUUACUUGAUGGCCCUUCGAUAGCAGUUUCUACUCCAGAGGAUACGGUGGCCGGAUCAUCAUCGCUCCCGGUGUCAGUGCGGAGACACGCAAGCAACUGAACCAUCGUGCUGUUCGCCUCCGCAUCCACCUUGAUUGAUCCACACAGGAUAGGAACCAAGAGGCGGCAGGGUUGUGUUUAGCUACUGGAUUCUCUGAACUUGUCCUAGCUAUGCGUUACUGAAUUCUUGGAUUCUUAUUACUUUUCUAUAAAUCUGUAAAACCUAAAACCAAGUUGGUUUUUCUUAUGAUAGUCUAGGGUUUGGUUGUUUGGUCUCUCAUGUUCUAGUCAAUCUAUAAAGCCUUUCGUAUAUUUGAGGAUA
Molecule: long non-coding RNA, 580 nt
Organism: Cornus florida
Lineage: Eukaryota; Viridiplantae; Streptophyta; Magnoliopsida; Cornales; Cornaceae
Exons: 2
Source: RefSeq, a predicted model, not a curated record